GCCGCGUUAGCUCAGAUGGCAGAGCGUCGCUCUUGUAAAGCGAAUGUCGAGAGUUCGAUUCUCUCACGCGGCUC
RNAcentral lists this transfer RNA (74 nucleotides) under Nocardioides szechwanensis. Its description in RNAcentral is "tRNA-Thr". It matches the Rfam family "tRNA". From Rfam's summary of the family: Transfer RNA (tRNA) molecules are approximately 80 nucleotides in length. The record is from RNAcentral. Lineage: Bacteria; Bacillati; Actinomycetota; Actinomycetes; Propionibacteriales; Nocardioidaceae.